This 276-nucleotide non-coding RNA is filed under the name Trichinella murrelli. Its description in RNAcentral is "Eukaryotic large subunit ribosomal RNA". It matches the Rfam family "Eukaryotic large subunit ribosomal RNA", at positions 2262 to 2375 of the family's 3401-position model. The record is from Rfam by way of RNAcentral. Lineage: Eukaryota; Metazoa; Nematoda; Enoplea; Trichinellida; Trichinellidae.
AUUAUUACUAUCAUUAUUAUUAUUAUUACUAUUGUUACUAUUCUUAUUAUUAUUAUUAUUAUUAUUAUUAUUAUUAUUAUUGUUUCUCAACGACUCAAUAAACGCCCAUUGGUACGCGUCACUAAUUAGGCUGACAGCAGCAGGCACUUUCCUCGUAGAGCGCCCUGCAAAUUCCGAAAUUAGCCAAAUGCCUCGUCAUCUAAUUAGUGACGCGUAUGAAUGGAUCAACAAGAUUCCUUCUGUCCCUAUCUACUAUCUAGCGAAACCACAGCCAAG